GUGCUUGUUCUGGCAGCAUACAUGCUAAAAAAUUGGAACAAUACAGAGAUUAGCAUAGCCCCUGCGCAAGGAUGACAUGCAAAUUUGUGAAGCGUUUCAUAGGUUU
Chionomys nivalis (European snow vole) is the source of this 106-nucleotide small nuclear RNA. The record is from RefSeq and is a predicted model, not a curated record. Lineage: Eukaryota; Metazoa; Chordata; Mammalia; Rodentia; Cricetidae.